This 90-nucleotide transfer RNA is filed under the name Bacillota bacterium. RNAcentral describes it as "tRNA-Ser". It matches the Rfam family "tRNA". From Rfam's summary of the family: Transfer RNA (tRNA) molecules are approximately 80 nucleotides in length. Their secondary structure includes four short double-helical elements and three loops (D, anti-codon, and T loops). Further hydrogen bonds mediate the characteristic L-shaped molecular structure. tRNAs have two regions of fundamental functional importance: the anti-codon, which is responsible for specific mRNA codon recognition, and the 3' end, to which the tRNAs corresponding amino acid is attached (by aminoacyl-tRNA synthetases). tRNAs cope with the degeneracy of the genetic code in two manners: having more than one tRNA (with a specific anti-codon) for a particular amino acid; and 'wobble' base-pairing, i.e. permitting non-standard base-pairing at the 3rd anti-codon position. Lineage: Bacteria; Bacillati; Bacillota. The record is from RNAcentral.
GGAGGGAUGUCCGAGCGGUUUAAGGAGGCGGUCUUGAAAACCGUUGAACCUUCGCGGGUUCCGUGGGUUCGAAUCCCACUCCCUCCGCCA